UCCUGUGCUGUCAAUCUUUUCUUACACCUCCGAAAACAAUGGCUUUUCACUCAACCUUUCAUUGAGCUUUUCCACAACACUGCUCAAAGUUGUUCAAACUUAGACAGGAUCUAUGAUCUAAUGGACUUCUUAAGGAAGCAAAGAUCCUUCAAGCAUCAGAGCCAGGGACCUAAAAAACUCAACAACCUGAUAAAGAAGGCUGGUUCUGUUCUGGUUCUGUUCUGAUUCUGCUCUGGGGACGACUGCGAAACCUCUGGAGAUGAUUAUGCAAAGAAUGAUUCUUCAUAAAAUCAAGAAGAGGAUGGACAACUGUGACCAUCCUCUUCUUGAAACUGUCUUGGGAAAACGGAGUGUCUUCAGUCAGAGGCUUCUUCAGAGUCACUGCAAUACAGACCGCUACAAGAAAUAUUUCCUGCCAACAGCCAUCAGUAUCUAGAAUAACUCUUUUAAGAAAUAAUUAAUCACAAUAACAUUUAAUUCCCUUUGGGAUGAAUAAAGUAUUUUUGGAUUUGAAUAUUUGUAUGUUUUUCUGGGCCAUGAUAAUUGCUGACCAACCUGAAGCAGUGUCCAGUGUUUGGAAGGAGGUUUKUCUUUAA
Long non-coding RNA from Poecilia reticulata (guppy), 596 nucleotides. RefSeq lists it as uncharacterized. NCBI's taxonomy places the organism in Eukaryota, Metazoa, Chordata, Actinopteri, Cyprinodontiformes, Poeciliidae. The record is from RefSeq and is a predicted model, not a curated record.